AUUGAACGCUGGCGGCAUGCCUUACACAUGCAAGUCGAACGGCAGCACGGGUGCUUGCACCUGGUGGCGAGUGGCGAGCGGGUGAGUAAUACAUCGGAACAUGUCCUGUAGUGGGGGAUAGCCCGGCGAAAGCCGGAUUAAUACCGCAUACGAUCCACGGAUGAAAGCGGGGGACCUUCGGGCCUCGCGCUAUAGGGUUGGCCGAUGGCUGAUUAGCUAGUUGGUGGGGUAAAGGCCUACCAAGGCGACGAUCAGUAGCUGGUCUGAGAGGACGACCAGCCACACUGGGACUGAGACACGGCCCAGACUCCUACGGGAGGCAGCAGUGGGGAAUUUUGGACAAUGGGCGAAAGCCUGAUCCAGCAAUGCCGCGUGUGUGAAGAAGGCCUUCGGGUUGUAAAGCACUUUUGUCCGGAAAGAAAUCCUUGGCUCUAAUACAGUCGGGGGAUGACGGUACCGGAAGAAUAAGCACCGGCUAACUACGU
RNAcentral lists this ribosomal RNA (485 nucleotides) under uncultured bacterium. Its description in RNAcentral is "partial 16S ribosomal RNA". It matches the Rfam family "Bacterial small subunit ribosomal RNA", at positions 30 to 506 of the family's 1533-position model. The record is from RNAcentral.